This 253-nucleotide ribosomal RNA is filed under the name uncultured bacterium. Its description in RNAcentral is "partial 16S ribosomal RNA". It matches the Rfam family "Bacterial small subunit ribosomal RNA", at positions 524 to 776 of the family's 1533-position model. The record is from RNAcentral.
UACGUAGGGUGCAAGCGUUAUCCGGAUUCACUGGGCUUAAAGGGUUCGUAGGCGGUUAGGUACGUCCGUGGUGAAAUCCUGCAGCUUAACUGCAGACCUGCCAUGGAUACUAUCUAUCUUGAAUGUCGUGGAGGUUAGCGGAAUAUGUCAUGUAGCGGUGAAAUGCUUAGAGAUGACGUAGAACACCCAUUGCGAAGGCAGCUAACUACGCGAGAAUUGACGCUGAUGCACGAAAGCGUGGGGAUCAAACAGG